RNAcentral lists this ribosomal RNA (429 nucleotides) under Bacillota bacterium. RNAcentral describes it as "Firmicutes bacterium partial 16S ribosomal RNA". It matches the Rfam family "Bacterial small subunit ribosomal RNA", at positions 355 to 776 of the family's 1533-position model. The record is from RNAcentral. Lineage: Bacteria; Bacillati; Bacillota.
UGGGGAAUUUUGGACAAUGGGGGCAACCCUGAUCCAGCAAUGCCGCGUGUGUGAAGAAGGCCUUCGGGUUGUAAAGCACUUUUGUCCGGGAAGAAAUCGCACCUGAUAAUACCGGGUGUGGAUGACGGUACCGGAAGAAUAAGGACCGGCUAACUACGUGCCAGCAGCCGCGGUAAUACGUAGGGUCCAAGCGUUAAUCGGAAUUACUGGGCGUAAAGCGUGCGCAGGCGGUUGUGCAAGACCGAUGUGAAAUCCCCGGGCUUAACCUGGGAAUUGCAUUGGUGACUGCACGGCUAGAGUGUGUCAGAGGGGGGUAGAAUUCCACGUGUAGCAGUGAAAUGCGUGGAGAUGUGGAGGAAUACCGAUGGCGAAGGCAGCCCCCUGGGAUAACACUGACGCUCAUGCACGAAAGCGUGGGGAGCAAACAGG